RNAcentral lists this unclassified non-coding RNA (22 nucleotides) under Mus musculus (house mouse). RNAcentral's name for it is "oocyte_clustered_small_RNA8027". Lineage: Eukaryota; Metazoa; Chordata; Mammalia; Rodentia; Muridae. The record is from RNAcentral.
UUUGUCCUCAGAGCUGGUGGAG